GCCAAGUGCGGGGAGGGGUCGGAGGUGAGACGUGGGGGGGGGUGGUUGGGCGGAAUUAUGGGGGGUAAAGAGCUAGGAGGGGGCUUGUGGCGUCGGCUGUGGAAACCCGCGGCUUAACCGUGGGCUUGCAGCCGAUACGGGCGGGCUAGAGUUCGGUAGGGGAGACUGGAAUUCCUGGUGGAGCGGUGAAAUGCGCAGAUAUCAGGAGGAACACCGGUGGCGAAGGCGGGUCUCUGGGCCGAUACUGACGCUGAGGAGCGAAAGCGUGGGGAGCGAACAGGAUUAGAUACCCCAGUAGUC
RNAcentral lists this ribosomal RNA (300 nucleotides) under uncultured Staphylothermus sp. Its description in RNAcentral is "partial 16S ribosomal RNA". The stretch from base 52 to 300 matches the Rfam family "Bacterial small subunit ribosomal RNA", at positions 547 to 795 of the family's 1533-position model. The record is from RNAcentral. Lineage: Archaea; Thermoproteati; Thermoproteota; Thermoprotei; Desulfurococcales; Desulfurococcaceae.